AGGACGAACGCUGGCGGCGUGCUUAACACAUGCAAGUCGAGCGGAAAGGCCUUUCGGGGUACUCGAGCGGCGAACGGGUGAGUAACACGUGAGUAAUCUGCCCAUCGCUUCAGGAUAGCCAUCGGAAACGGUGAUUAAUACUGGAUAUGACAUUCCUUCGCAUGUUGGGGUGUGGAAAGUUUUUUCGGCGGUGGAUGUGCUCGCGGCCUAUCAGCUUGUUGGUGGGGUAAUGGCCUACCAAGGCUUUGACGGGUAGCCGGCCUGAGAGGGUGACCGGCCACACUGGGGGCUGAGACACGGCCCAGACUCCUACGGGAGCAGCAGUGGGGAAUAGUUGGACAAUGGGCGAAGCCUGAUCAGCAACGCCGCGUGAGG
RNAcentral lists this ribosomal RNA (375 nucleotides) under uncultured soil bacterium. Its description in RNAcentral is "bacterial SSU rRNA". It matches the Rfam family "Bacterial small subunit ribosomal RNA", at positions 26 to 406 of the family's 1533-position model. The record is from RNAcentral.